RNAcentral lists this ribosomal RNA (460 nucleotides) under uncultured bacterium. RNAcentral's name for it is "partial 16S ribosomal RNA". It matches the Rfam family "Bacterial small subunit ribosomal RNA", at positions 338 to 795 of the family's 1533-position model. The record is from RNAcentral.
CCUACGGGUGGCAGCAGUGAGGAAUAUUGGUCAAUGGACGCACGUCUGAACCAGCCAUGCCGCGUGCAGGAAGACGGCUCUAUGAGUUGUAAACUGCUUUUGUACGAGGGUAAACGCAGAUACGCGUAUCUGUCUGAAAGUAUCGUACGAAUAAGGAUCGGCUAACUCCGGGCCAGCCGCCGCGGGAAUACGGAGGAUUCCAGCGUUAUCCGGGUUUAAUGGGGUUAAAGGGGGCGGAGGCGGUCGGGUAAGUUCGAGGUGAAACUCCGAGGCUCAACUUCGGAAUUGCCUUUGAUACUGUUCGGCUAGAGAGUAGUUGCGGUAGGCGGAAUGUAUGGGGUAGCGGUGAAAUGCUUAGAGAUCAUACAGAACACCGAUUGCGAAGGCAGCUUACCAAGCUACUUCUGACGUUGAGGCACGAAAGCGUGGGGAGCAAACAGGAUUAGAUACCCCAGUAGUC